This 582-nucleotide ribosomal RNA is filed under the name uncultured bacterium. RNAcentral's name for it is "bacterial SSU rRNA". It matches the Rfam family "Bacterial small subunit ribosomal RNA", at positions 338 to 916 of the family's 1533-position model. The record is from RNAcentral.
CCUACGGGAGGCAGCAGUGAGGAAUAUUGGACAAUGGACGAAGGUCUGAUCCAGCUAUGCCGCGUGCAGGAUGACGGCCCUAUGGGUUGUAAACUGCUUUUAUACAGGAAGAAAAACUCCGACGUGUCGGAACUUGACGGUACUGUAAGAAUAAGGAUCGGCUAACUCCGUGCCAGCAGCCGCGGUAAUACGGAGGAUCCAAGCGUUAUCCGGAAUCAUUGGGUUUAAAGGGUCCGUAGGCGGUUUUUUAAGUCAGAGGUGAAAUCCUGCAGCUCAACUGUAGAAUUGCCUUUGAUACUGAAAGACUUGAGUUAUUGUGAAGUGGUUAGAAUGUGUGGUGUAGCGGUGAAAUGCAUAGAUAUCACACAGAAUACCAAUUGCGAAGGCAGAUCACUAACAAUAUACUGACGCUCAGGGACGAAAGCGUGGGUAGCGAACAGGAUUAGAUACCCUGGUAGUCCACGCCGUAAACGAUGGAUACUAGCUGUAUGUCUACUUCAGGUAGAUGUGUGGCUAAGCGAAAGUGAUAAGUAUCCCACCUGGGGAGUACGAUCGCAAGAUUGAAACUCAAAUGAAUGACGG